ACUCCUACGGGAGGCAGCAGUGGGGAAUCUUGCGCAAUGCGCGAAAGCGUGACGCAGCAACGCCGCGUGGGGGAAGAAGGCCUUCGGGUUGUAAACCCCUUUCAGUUGGGACGAAGCUUCGCCGGUGAAUAGCCGGCUGGAGUGACGGUACCUUCACAAGAAGCCCCGGCUAACUACGUGCCAGCAGCCGCGGUAAUACGUAGGGGGCUAGCGUUGUCCGGAAUCAUUGGGCGUAAAGCGCGUGUAGGCGGUCCGGUAAGUCCGCUGUGAAAGUCGGGGGCUCAACCCUCGAAAGCCGGUGGAUACUGUCGGGCUAGAGUACGGAAGAGGCGAGUGGAAUUCCUGGAGUAGCGGUGAAAUGCGCAGAUAUCAGGAGGAACACCAAUUGCGAAGGCAGCUCGCUGGGACGUUACUGACGCUGAGACGCGAAAGCGUGGGGAGCAAACAGGAUUAGAUACCCUGGUAG
RNAcentral lists this ribosomal RNA (466 nucleotides) under uncultured Actinomycetes bacterium. RNAcentral's name for it is "bacterial SSU rRNA". It matches the Rfam family "Bacterial small subunit ribosomal RNA", at positions 335 to 793 of the family's 1533-position model. The record is from RNAcentral. Lineage: Bacteria; Bacillati; Actinomycetota; Actinomycetes.